Molecule: long non-coding RNA, 607 nt
Filed under: Numida meleagris (helmeted guineafowl)
Lineage: Eukaryota; Metazoa; Chordata; Aves; Galliformes; Numididae
Description: lncRNA (ENSNMEG00000018396.1)
Source: RNAcentral
GAAAGUUGUAGACUCUUUGUGUUUGUCCUAUUAGGAGAGCUGGUAAUACAGGAACCCAUCCAGCAAAUGGAGCUGGGGAGUGAAACAGUCUAAAGGGGAGGGAGCCACAAGAGAAGGACUUAAAGCAUGGAAUAGAUAGCCUCCCUCAACAUCGCCACUGAAGUGGAGUCAGGUGGAGGGAAUGGAGCAGAUGUAGAGGUAUUGCUGGACCAGGAAACACAGAGCAGGAAGGUAGCACAAAGGAGGUCAAAGUGCAUCUGCGAGAUACAGUGUCAGCAUUUGUGCCCGGGAAUCUGCAAAAAUGAAGAUCAGACCAGCAGUGGUUCAGCCAAGAAGGAGCUUCCUGAAGUCCAGAUGUAUUCUGCUCCCCAUCCACCCGCCCAAAGCACUAUUUGUUCAAACAGGAUUGAUAAUACUUACUGUUGCAGUUCAAACUGCAACGUAAAGACAAACUCUUGCUCUCACCUCAUUUACUGGUUUGCUAAAUGAGAUUGAGAAGGGAUUUCUUAUUUGUUUCUGAGUCAAGAGAAGGUAUUUUUAAACCCAAAGCUGUUUUGAUUUGGUUUGCAGAACAAAAGCAUGAUGAUGGGUUGCAAGCACAUGCACC